CAACCUGAGAGUUUGAUUCUGGCUCAGAACGAACGCUGGCGGCAGGCUUAACACAUGCAAGUCGAACGCCCCCUUCGGGGGGAGU
Molecule: ribosomal RNA, 85 nt
Filed under: Henriciella sp.
Lineage: Bacteria; Pseudomonadati; Pseudomonadota; Alphaproteobacteria; Hyphomonadales; Hyphomonadaceae
Description: partial 16S ribosomal RNA
Rfam family: Bacterial small subunit ribosomal RNA
Source: RNAcentral